AGUCGAGAUACAAAGAUGUUUCUAAACUGGUCUGAACUGUUACGGAAAGGCACCGGCAAUGGCCAGCAGCCAAUGGCCGGUUGCGAUAAGCGCGGUGGAUAAAGGCCUGCCUGGGAAGUUGCAGGUCGCUCGCUUAUCUUAUCGUACGCGAUAGUCCGAUGUUUACUUUUGACUGGUGGAACUGUUACUUUAUUUUCAACAAAAUUAACGAAACAUUCAGCACAUUAUGUCACAUCAAACGUAGAAUUGUGCCAUUCAUUCUGGAUAAUCCAAACACAAAUGAACGCUGGCGGCGGAACGUUGGUUUUGGUUGUACUGGCAAGUACCUCCUCCAAGUGCUGUUUUCAUCCCGUAAAUCAACCACUUUAAAUGACCUCGCGUGCAAAAAUAAGUUCCAGUCAUCAUCCCACGAUCAUUCCCACACACAUUCUCUCUCUCAAAAGAUGCAUACUUUCACGUAAGGCGUCAUCGACACGUCCUGCUAUUCGAAUGUUCCAGGCAGAGCUAUUGAAGAUUGGUAUUGAAUCUCCCAGUCAAAGAAGACACAAAGCGGCCUAAAAUUCCACAACACAAAUUUAUAUUUUAUUAUCGUUAUGGAAUUUUAAAGCAUCGGAGAAAUCAAAUCUAUAAUAAGAACUUUGAAAACGAGCCUACAAAACUUAACCUGCCCUAAGCUCGCUCGGUUCAGGGGUUAAUGUACGUGCAUUAUACAUCGCAUUGGCCCUUUCCUUUUCCUUCGAUUCCCCGAAUCCAGCUAACUAAAGUCCUUUUUUCUAAUGCGUCAUUCUUGAUCUUCCCGUGUUCCUUUUCGGGCCCAGGAGGGAGCCGGCAAAGUCACCCAAACAAUGAAAACCAGUUCAAACCGGUUAUAGGGCCCGUGAGAGGAACCUGUCGCUUUCAUGCUGCAUUAAUGAUUUUGUUUGCUUUCCUUCCUUCCAAUCGUGAUAGAAGCUUUGGUUGAUAAUUCUUGCUUCAGGAAUUUUGUCGAUAAGAUCCCACACGACCCAAGGGCGAGGGCUUGAGACUUUGGUUGAUAAAACUGUUAUCAUUGUUAUUGGGGGAAGUUUGCUUCUAGAAGUUAUGAAGGAAGGGCCUUUCGGAGCAUUCAGAAAUUGUUGAAGACUGAACGGUAUAAACCAAUUCAAUUCCGGCUUAAAGAAGUUCAUUAGCCCACACGAUUUUAGUUCCGAACCCUUUACCAUUUCUGUUCAUCCCAGACUCAGACUGGGAAGUUCUACCUCCAGUAUUUCCCUUCUCUUUGCACCUUGUAUUAAAUCCCGGAAUACAUUCAGCACGUCACAGAGCAGCAGCAAAAGGAGAAAAUCUCCUCUUCGUACGAUACAAAGGGGCCUUUUCUCGUGCUCCAUCAUUUAAACUGGAAACCUCACACAUCCUACGGCUUUUUGUCGCGUUGCAUGCUUCGCUUACCGCAAACGACGUUUUGUGUCCCCAUUUCUCUUUGCAUCCCACAGUGCACAAUAUGCACCAGUGCCGUUGCUUGCAUCUGUCUGUCCUCUAAAUCUGAUGCAGUGCACAGCCACAGUAUGCCAUGAAACGCCCUGAGGCAGAAGGCCCAGCCAAACAGUGCAUGUCAAAACAGGCGCACCACCAUGACUGUGUUUGUUGACAGACGAAAGUCACCACCAAUAUGUCAGCAGAGCGUCAGUCGUGUGAGUGUGUGGGGGGGAGGAGGCGGGAAUAGUUGCGAUAAGAGAAAGUAUGCGUUCUUAUCACGUUCUCGGGGAGUGUUUUGUUUGCCACAACGCAGUGCCGUUGACGGAAGAGGACGACGUCAGGGACAUUCUGUUACUUUGGUGGAGGCCGGCUGGAGGAAGACGGCAAUGUUCUAAACGAGGACUUUAGAAUUUGUUGGACGUGUUUUACAAACAGUUCGGACACUGUUUCGACAAAUGGAAGGCAAUGAACCAGAGAGUGUUGAAGGCAUUUCUAAGGACGAAUGACUUCCCUUCGCAUUCAGUUGGCGAAGGCAUUGGUUGGACAAAGAAUAUCUAAACUCUUGAAAUUACCAUUUCAAACGGCAUGAGCCGUACCACCGCUCUAUUGCUGGAUACAAAUGCGUCCCAAUUAAUCUCAAGGUUGAAUGGAUCGUCACACACAGCAGCAGCAGCAGAACACACAUGGACCGAGCGCGUCGUCCGUUCUCGUUCGUUGUUGUAAAAAGUUACAAAUAUAAACAACGGGUUGACGCUCUCUCUCUCUCUCUCUCUCUCUUUCUCUCUCGCUCUCAUCAUACUAUCGCGCUAUCGGAUGCUGCGAGUAGUUCGAUACGGCAUCAUCCCUCUUUGGGCAGUGGAAAUGGUUGGCGUGAAACGGGACGACGCAAGAAGACGAUGACACUGACAUUGGAACAUUGAGGGUGGCCGUCCGUCCCCGGGUCGAUUGCAUCAUGCGCAUGAGCUGCGCGGCAAACACAGGACACAGUGGAGGAGGACGAUGCACUGUUUUCCCCGGUCGUUAAGGGCGAGAGUACAUCGGGGUGAAUAUCUCUCACAGGGAGGAUGAGAAGCGAAGGUGAGUUAGAGGGAGAUGCCACACUUCGUUCUUCCCAAACACCGUCGUAAUCGUAGUAACCGUGUGUAUGUCCGCAAAGGCAAAAGUGCAAGAACAUUUUGGUCUUUGAACUUUACCUUUUCCUUUCAACAGGAGAGAGAGGUUGGGGGUGCUUUUGGGGGUGACGAACAGAGAGUUUACUUACCUCGCGCAACGGUGUGCUGCCUUUGACCUGCUGGGACUGCUGUUGUUGGGAUGUUGAAAGGGUUUCUUCAACCGAGGAAGACGACACCCUUAAACCAUGCUCCAACGCCGCGCCAGGAAACACUGUAAAAACAACUCCUAAAACGUGCUGCCCAGCGGUCGAACGUCAAAUAUAUUCACACACACAUACACAUCAGGCCUUUGGUAAGCCAGUGGAGCAGCUCCACGCAUCACACAUGUGCGCAAAACACUUUCCACCAACACAUACACACACGAG
Long non-coding RNA from Anopheles coluzzii, 2992 nucleotides. RefSeq lists it as uncharacterized. The record is from RefSeq and is a predicted model, not a curated record. The transcript is spliced from 2 exons. NCBI's taxonomy places the organism in Eukaryota, Metazoa, Arthropoda, Insecta, Diptera, Culicidae.